RNAcentral lists this transfer RNA (63 nucleotides) under Ictidomys tridecemlineatus (thirteen-lined ground squirrel). Its description in RNAcentral is "Spermophilus tridecemlineatus (thirteen-lined ground squirrel) tRNA". It matches the Rfam family "tRNA". Rfam says of the family: Transfer RNA (tRNA) molecules are approximately 80 nucleotides in length. Their secondary structure includes four short double-helical elements and three loops (D, anti-codon, and T loops). The record is from Rfam by way of RNAcentral. Lineage: Eukaryota; Metazoa; Chordata; Mammalia; Rodentia; Sciuridae.
GGGGAUGUAGCUCAGUGGUAGAGCGUUUGCCUUGUAUACAUGAGGACUUGAGUUCCAUCCCCA